GUGCUAUAUUCCACAGGUACAGUAAGAGUCAUUGUUCCAGUUUGGGAGAAAAAAAAAUCAUAAUAAAAUGCAAGGACAUGCUGAGAGCUAUAUAUGGAAGCAAUAGGAGAUGAAUAUAGAGCAUUCUGACCAUUUGAAAACCAGCAUCUAUAACAAGGAGGGGUUAAGCAGGGAAUAGGGAGGGGGAGGCAGCAGGAUUUCUCAUUACAAAAUUACAUUAAUGUCAUUUCACAAAGUUUUCAUUCUCAUUUAGAACUAAAUUUAAAUUAUAAUAACAAUAAAAUUAUUUUGAACCCCUAAAGUAAAUUAAGAUUUUCUACCAUGAUAAUCACAAUGGCAACCUCAAUCAAUGGCAGAAACCAUCUACAAGUCCUUACAUGGGAAGGAGGAAGUAAGAAAAGAAGCAUUUAUAUAGCCUACUAUGUGUCAGAUACUUACUAUGUGCUAAGUGCUUUACAAAUUUUAUCUCGUUUGAUCCGAACAAUCAUCCUGCAAAGUAGGUGUUAUUAUGAUUUCCAUUUUACAACUGAAGAAACUGAGACAGAGAUUAAGUUACUUGCUAAGAUUACAUUGUAAGUAUUGAAAGUCGUAUUUGAACUUAGAUUUUUCCGGUGGGGGAGAGAUAAUAGGAGGAAGAGGAGAGGGUGUUUUCUACUUUACCUUCUAUAUCACCACUUAGAAGUCUUAAUAAUUCUCAGUAAGCAGAAUUUAUGUUGCUUGAUGACCACUGAUAGAUGUUCACAUUGUUAUCUUGUUCAAGUCAGAACACAACACUGAUAUUGGGUGAUUCAAUAUGAAAUAUCUCCGCUAUAAUUCCUCAACCUGGAGUAGACUAUCACAAACAUGGUAUCCAAAAAAGCAUCUCUCCCACAUCAGUGAAAAAUUGAGUUGUCUUUUUUUUCUGUACUGAAAAAAUAAAAGAGCAAUGAAGAGCACUAGCUAAUGUCCACAGCAGGGAAGAACAAAUGUAACAAAUCCAGUAAUUGGGGCUCUUAUUUUAUAUUUCUGUUGGGUAUUCACUGGUUUAUUCUAAGAAGCAUGCCCUAGUUUUAUUGGAGCUAUGGAUAGCUUUUGCUAAAUGCUAAUGUGUUUGAAUUUUAGCAGGAUAUUUGGAUUUCAAACUUCAUUUUAUGGCAGAAAACUAGACUUAGUUGAAACUUUUUGAUACCACUUGCAUUUAAGGAAGACAUUCAAUCCAAUCUCUUUAUUUUACAAGAAGGAAAGUGAGGCUAAAAGAGAUUCAGUAGCUUGCAGAUGGUCAGACUAGUAGUAAGGGGUAGAAUUAGGUCUUCUAACUCCAAAGGCAGGGUUCUUUCCAUGCACCACGAAAAUUUUAAGACAUUUCUCAUUAAGUUAACAGGAUAUUAAUUAAGUUGAUUUGUAAUUGUUACCCCGGUACUGAAAAUAG
Molecule: long non-coding RNA, 1408 nt
Filed under: Sarcophilus harrisii (Tasmanian devil)
Lineage: Eukaryota; Metazoa; Chordata; Mammalia; Dasyuromorphia; Dasyuridae
Description: lncRNA (ENSSHAG00000030629.1)
Source: RNAcentral